UACGUAGGGGGCAAGCGUUGUCCGGAUUUAUUGGGCGUAAAGAGCGUGUAGGCGGUCAGGUAGGUCCGUUGUGAAAACUCGAGGCUCAACCUCGAGACGCCGAUGGAAACCAUCUGACUAGAGUCCGGAAGAGGAGAGUGGAAUUCCUGGUGUAGCGGUGAAAUGCGCAGAUAUCUGGAGGAACACCAGUGGCGAAGGCGGCUUCCUGGCCUGUAACUGACGCUGAGACGCGAAAGCGUGGGGAGCGAACCGG
RNAcentral lists this ribosomal RNA (253 nucleotides) under uncultured bacterium. Its description in RNAcentral is "partial 16S ribosomal RNA". It matches the Rfam family "Bacterial small subunit ribosomal RNA", at positions 524 to 776 of the family's 1533-position model. The record is from RNAcentral.